AGCAGCCGCGGUAAUUCCAGCUCCAAUAGCGUAUAUUAAAGUUGUUGCAGUUAAAAAGCUCGUAGUUGAACUUCAGGCCUGGCUGGGCGGUCCGCCUCACGGCGUGUACUGUCUGGCUGGGUCUUACCUCUUGGUGAGCCGGCGUGGUCUUUAUUGGUUGCGUCGGGGAACCAGGACUUUUACCUUGAGAAAAUUAGAGUGUUCAAAGCUGGCCUACGCCUGAAUACAUUAGCAUGGAAUAAUGAAAUAGGACGUGCGGUUCUAUUUUGUUGGUUUCUAGAGUCGCCGUAAUGAUUAAUAGGGAUAGUUGGGGGCAUUGGUAUUGAGUCGCUA
RNAcentral lists this ribosomal RNA (333 nucleotides) under uncultured Basidiomycota. Its description in RNAcentral is "SSU rRNA". It matches the Rfam family "Eukaryotic small subunit ribosomal RNA", at positions 569 to 907 of the family's 1831-position model. The record is from RNAcentral. Lineage: Eukaryota; Fungi; Basidiomycota.